Molecule: unclassified non-coding RNA, 336 nt
Filed under: soil metagenome
Description: partial contains 5.8S ribosomal RNA, internal transcribed spacer 2, and large subunit ribosomal RNA
Rfam family: 5.8S ribosomal RNA (bases 1-120)
Source: RNAcentral
GAUGAAGAACGUAGUGAAAUGCGAUAAGUAAUGCGAAUUGCAGAAUUCAGUGAAUCAUCGAAUCUUUGAACGCACAUUGCGCCCGCCAGUAUUCUGGCGGGCAUGCCUGUUCGAGCGUCAUUUCAACCAUCAAGCCCCCGGCUUGUGUUGGGGACCUGCGGCUGCCGCAGGCCCUGAAAACCAGUGGCGGGCUCGCUGUCACACCGAGCGUAGUAGAUUUUCAUCUCGCUCAGGGCGUGCUGCGGGUUCCGGCCGUAAAAAGCCUUAUUUACCCAAGGUUGACCUCGGAUCAGGUAGGAAGACCCGCUGAACUUAAGCAUAUCAAUAAGCGGAGGA